Non-coding RNA from Triticum urartu, 1858 nucleotides. NCBI's taxonomy places the organism in Eukaryota, Viridiplantae, Streptophyta, Magnoliopsida, Poales, Poaceae. The record is from RefSeq and is a predicted model, not a curated record.
GGGGGGGGGGGUUGAGGGGAACGUGAGGAGGGAGGGAGGUUGCGGGAGAGAGGAUAGGAUUUCAUUUCUUUUGUUUUCUCGGGAGUUCGGGAACAUCUGAUCGUGCGUAUAUAGGGCAGACCGUGCAUAUACACACACAUAUAUAUAGGGUUGGGCUAUUCUGUUGCCCGUAUCAGAAUAUUAUUCUGUUACGCUCAGCUCUAUAUAAGAGCGAUCCGACUAAUCUGAAACUAACAGGAAAAAUGUGUCCAUCUCCCCAACCCGAUCCCCCACCAUCGCCAUGACCACCUACUCUAGCGCGCCUCCGCCGGCCCCCUCCCCCAGCGCGCCGCAGCCGGCCCCUUCCCCCAGCGCGUCUCCGCCGGCCCCUGCCCAGUGCGCCGCAACCGGCCCCCUCCCCCAGCGCGCCUCUGCCGCCCCCUACUCCAACGCGCCACCGCCGGCCCCCUACUCCAACGCGCCGCUGCCGUAAACCUGCCGGGCGCGCCGCCGCCCCCUGCCCCAGCACGCCACCACAACGACCUCCCUUUCCCAGUGCGCCGCCGCAGGCCCCCUGGCCCAGCGCACCACCACCACGACCUCCCUCCCCCAGUGCGGUGCGGCCUAGCCCCUGCCUCCGAGCGUCGCCGGUCUUCGCGCACAACUAUCCCACUGCUGCCACACACACCAACUCUGUACUGAGGCUAGCACGGUGGUCGAUCACCGAGGGAUGGCCGGUCCUUGCCAUCGGCGGCCGCACUCCCGAUGUGUCAUGAGCGAUUGCGCCCAUAGAGGCUUGCUCCCAUCAUCCUCCUCCUCCCAGAGUACGAUGUCAAUGGCGACAACAUCCAGUAGGUCCUCUUGUGCCUCUACUCGCCCCGCUUUCACCACCGGCCAGUCGUGCAAAGCCAUGUAAAAAUGUUCAGGAGUAUAAAUGGAUUUUCUUCUUGUUGAACUAAGUUGAACAUGUCAUUAUGCGUCACGGCUGGGGGUGGGAGGCGUGCGGCGGCCGGAGGUGGGAGGCCGUUCAACUUUGCGUCUUUCGCUCGGCCAGCGCUCGACGAGGGGCACCCCGGUCUCGCUCGUGUGUGGGUUUUGGAGUAUAUUCUACCGAUGUGUUCUGCUCUCCUCUAUUUUCAACUAAAUCGUGCUGCCAUGUGUGGAUUUCCCCUCUAACUCCACAACAAGUUGAAUCCUGCAAAUUCUACUGGUAAGUGCAAGAUUCAGUACUGUCCAUUUUGAUUUUCUAUAAAGAAGGCCAAUCAUUCUUGUUGCUUCACAUAUACUAGUAUACGGGAGUACUAGAAUCCAUCCACGAAACAGUCAAGCAACCAUGGAUAUCAGCCCACCACUGUGUUGCGGAUGUGAUCUUUGUGCGCUUUUGAGUAUUGUAAAACAAUUGUAUGCUUCUGGUUGCUGCUUGCUGCCACUGCCGAAUUGUGUAGGUGCAAAAAGUUUCAUAUCGCAAGUUCAAAGAGGGUUGUAUGCAAGUUUAGAAGUUUGUUUGGAGCAUCUUUAGGUGUUUGUUGUAAUGUAGAAAAGAGUUUUUAAUACCGAAAACAAACCUAGUGAAAAAAAUGUCCAGGCGACCAUCAUGCCUGCCUCCUGACCCCCGCCAUCAGGUCGCGGCCUCUUCCGCCGUCAGGUCGCAGCCUCUUUUGCCGUCAGAUCGCAUCCUCUUCCUUCUGCAGGUCGCCGCCUCCUGCUGCUGCAGGCCAUGCCCCAUCCCCCAUUCUCGCAUGGUCGCCAACGAGGUAUCCUACUACAACAGUGGUCACCGCCCAGAACUCUCUCCGGUUAAUUUUGAUCUACUUUUGCACAUUUGUUCUUUAUCUCACGAAUUUUGUUAUGUAGGAGAUGAACAAUUGUUGAUCCUGAA